Molecule: long non-coding RNA, 3683 nt
Organism: Varanus komodoensis (Komodo dragon)
Lineage: Eukaryota; Metazoa; Chordata; Lepidosauria; Squamata; Varanidae
Exons: 2
Source: RefSeq, a predicted model, not a curated record
UUUUCUCUCUAGGGAUGAGCUCCUUAUGCUGCGUUGGGUUCGCGUUUUUUUGCAAAAAGGGUCGCAAGCAUUAGGAGGGAUGGAUUGUUUGAUGUUUGCAGGCUGGUGCGUAUGUGUGUGAAUGCCCUGUUGUUCGGUAUUGUGAUCGACUGCAUCACUCCUGUGCAUGGAGAAUUCAUGCCCAUGCAGAAUUCAGGCUUCGUUUCUCAGGAGAAUGACCUGACUACCCCCAAAUCCACAAAAGACCCUUCACCCAAAUUGUGUACAGUAAAUUCUUUCCGGUGCAAUGGAGUACAACUCUCAAUCUAGUGUGUUUCAUGUUGGGGGAGAUUAAAAAUAACCACCCUUCCAGGGGAGACUGCUGAUUCCUAAGCUUUUGCAGCUUUCAUUCUGAGUUUUAUAGGUGCUAUCCUUGCUGGUGAACUCCAUCUGCAAAAGUCUUGCUCUUGAGCAGAAUGGGUAGCUUCUACAAAGCUCAGAAUAAAACUGCAAUGGAAAAAGUGUCCCACUAACAGAGGAAUCAUGGUCUCCCCUGCAGGUAUCACUGUCUUCCUUUGUUAUGUGGAGAAGACAGAAAUGGGAAAGUGUGAUGAGAAUAUCUUUCUUAAAUAUCUCUAAUAGCUCUAGGGAAUUAUGCGCUCUGGGGAUGCAAUGCUCUUUUUCUUGGUACUGGCCGGCCUCACUUGUGUGUUUUGUCUCAGUGGGUGUGAAGACUCUUAAGACUGGUUUUUCCCUAGAGAUACUACAGUUUUCCACUUUUGCGGGUCCCUGUGUCCCUAACCCCAGAAAUGUAGUGUUCACUACUAUCCAUGGUUUCAGGCAUCUGCUGUAGGGCUUGGAACUUAUCCCCGAGAAUCUGGCCAUCCUGCCAUAAUACUCUCCUUUUGCUCUCUUCAGAAAACAGAGAGUAAGAAGUGCAGAGGGACAAAAGGGACAGGCCAUUUUGGGAAGCGAUGCACCUCAAAAGAAGGCAUUGGCUCUCCAGAGUGCCUCAAACGGUUUAGGAUCUUUUGCUGGGUUUUAACACGCACAGCUUGGUUUUGCAUUCACACAAACACUCUCUGCACUUAGAAAGCAAAGGUUAUUCAUCAGAGAAAUACAGAGCAAGCACAAGCUUUUAACCUGUUGCUGUUCAGACAACAAAUAUUUCCAUCACAUCCAAUCUUACACUGGGUUCCUAAAGAGACAGGCACUAAGUGGGGGUGGGUGAGGUCCAUUACUGAGUUCAGAGCUUGUGUGUCCAGAGGGCCCUUGUAGGAGAGUCUCCUUUAUAAGCCCCUGGUAUUUAUACUGUUUCUCCAUGAACAUGUGUCUGUGGGAAAGAUGAGUUUCCCAGGCUUAUGCCUAUUGUUGGAAGGGUGCUUGACUGCUUCUUGAAUGGCCCUAACUAUUGUUUCUCUGAGCAAGAGGUGAGUUCUUUGUGUUUGCUAGGUUAUAGAUAAGGUAAUUUCCAGGCGUUUCAGGACAAUGGGUCAUCCUUCUUGCAGGGUUGUUUUGCCUGAACUCCUUAUGUGGGGAGGAAUGUCUGACCUUCUCCCCACAAAUUCCAGCAUUCAGUCUUAUUUCUGAGGUUCCCAGUACAACAGUCUAACCCGCUAUGUCAUACUGGUGUUUAACUUGAAUGAUUUGUCUCCCUGGGAGUUAAAUUUUCUAGCCCUUGUCAUUCCAAUUCACCUUUCUUAGGAACCAGCCCCCAUUCCACUCCAAAUUUUAUAAUAAAAUAUGGAAGCCCUUUUAUGAAAAAUAGUUUAUUGCACAAAACAUUUCAAUAAUUUUUAUGCACAUCUUAAUUCUUGUUUUAAUUAACAUGCUUUUUAAGGUCACAAUUGUUAAUCUGUAGUCAAAUAGAACAUAACUCUUUAUUUUGAACUCCCAAAUGAAACGUUAAGAAGGUGAUAUUUAUCCCUUAUCAGUACAAUCAGAUAACAACUGGAAGCUUGUAAAGUGUGAGAAAAUCUGCAGCAGAACAUUUCUUUAUUGUUUCUUUAAAGAAAAAAUACAACUCUGUGCAGGUGAAGUCAAGUUUUCAUGGAAAGGACCCCUGGUGAGCAGAAUGACUUGAAAUCAUCUCACUCCAGCAAAUCAGCACCUAGGUUUUCAUGUAGCCAUCAAGUAGAUUCUAAUCGCUAACCGAAUGGCGCAACAUAAAUUGCAUGGUCUAAAUUAAGGCGACAUUUCACUUUGAUUUUAUUGUGCAUUUGUCAUGUCAAAUGACACAUUUUGGUUUAUAAUGGUCAGAAUGCUCCCCUUGCUGAUCAGCAUCUCUGUUUAUGAAAAACUUUCACAAUACUCAUUUAUUUCCAUGUCCAGAAGGGCAGCUGUAAAACAGUACAACCAACAAGCACAUGUUAUUCUGGAAAAUGUUCUUAAAACACGAGGAACUUUUCCUGAACAUUGCCUGCGUGUAGGAUGAAAUAGGCUAAACACGGAGAAGGAAGAAUGAUCAAGAUAACGAAGUGUGCCUGUCUCCAAACGACUUAGAAGACAGUGGAAGUAACAUGCAACAGAGCAGUGGGGCAGACACUUACAGAAACCUCUGCCCCAAACAAAUGGUGUUUGUUUUAUACUGUAACACUGUGAGCAGUUGGAAGAAAAAUGUCAAAGAAUCCUCUGCUAAAAUUGCAAAGGAAUCCUGAAGCUUUUAAAAGGAAAAAGUUGUGAUAUCUUGAUAGCAUGUUUUUUUAGUUUCUCUAACUCCUUUGCUAGUAAAAACAUAGCUGAAUCCAGCAAUGAAAGGAAAUGGAUAGUACCUUCUAGGAACCGUAAAGUAGGUGUUCCCAGCCUAGCCUCCCCUAGUCUCUGAUGGCGGUGGAAUAAUGGGGCCUGUAGCCGAUGCAUCCAGAGGGCACAUGGUUUGGAAAGGCCGCCCUGAUCCAUUGGGCUCCAUGGAUUCUCUGUCUCGUUUCUAAAAGCAAGCCAGUGUUAAGCAGAGGCAACUGCCUGAAUUACUUCAAAGAAGAGCUGCUGGGCUAAUUUUCAGAAGAAGCUGCUCCCUGAACCUGAGAAUAAAAGGCAGCACCUUUUAAAAAGAGCAACGCCUCCAGUGAGGGAGGGAGAACGAUACGGGCUCUGGAUUUUGUUGCCAGUGGAUACUCCAGGACAGAACACAACUGGACCAUUUAUACACACCCUGCCCUGGAGAUGUCCUGAAAAGACGAUGCAGCAUCAACAGCAAUGUGCAAAAGGCGUCUGCCAAAGUGAAUCGCACUCUCUGUGGGCCUUUGGUUGUGGAUCCUCCAUCCAAGUCCUUUGCCAUAGAACGACUUCAAAAUGGUUGGUUUGGGACUCAUAACCCCCAAGCGCUAAUUGCUUCAUCCGCUACGCACCUUUAAUGCAUCCAUCAAGGUGUGUUUCUAAGCAAGAAAGCCUGGCCUGAACCUAAUAUCAGCAUCAGUUUGCCGAGUUGGUGUGACCUCUGGCUCUGAAAAUGACUGGCUCAUUAUCAAACUUGUUUACCAAACCAUUUUUUUUAAAAGUGGAAACUAUUGAAGCCAAUUCAGCUUCACAGCCAAAUCUCUCUCCAUAUAGCCAUUCCUGAAUGGUAGGGGAAAGAUUUUUAGUCUUCUGGGGAAUCUCUUGAUGGACCAACCAGUACAUCUCCUUCCCUGCUGCACCCCAGUAUCAUUAGCUCAAGUAAAUUUGACUCAGUUGAAAAAAUGUUAAUAAAGCAUAACCUUCAAAUA